UUGUCUCAAAGAUUAAGCCAUGCAUGUCUCAGUACAAGCCAAAUUAAGGUGAAACCGCGAAAGGCUCAUUAAAUCAGUUAUGGUUCCUUAGAUCGUACCUACGUUACUUGGAUAACUGUGGUAAUUCUAGAGCUAAUACAUGCAAACAGAGCUCCGACCGGAGACGGAAGGAGCGCUUUUAUUAGAUCAAAACCAAUCGGUGGCGGUUUCCGUCAUCGUACAACUUGGUGACUCUGAAUAACUUUACGCUGAUCGCACGGUCUUGCACCGGCGACGCAUCUUUCAAAUGUCUGCCUUAUCAACUGUCGAUGGUAGGUUCUGCGCCUACCAUGGUUGUAACGGGUAACGGGGAAUCAGGGUUCGAUUCCGGAGAGGGAGCCUGAGAAACGGCUACCACAUCCAAGGAAGGCAGCAGGCGCGCAAAUUACCCACUCCCGGCACGGGGAGGUAGUGACGAAAAAUAACGAUACGGGACUCAUCCGAGGCCCCGUAAUCGGAAUGAGUACACUCUAAACCCUUUAACGAGGAUCAAUUGGAGGGCAAGUCUGGUGCCAGCAGCCGCGGUAAUUCCAGCUCCAAUAGCGUAUAUUAAAGUUGUUGCGGUUAAAAAGCUCGUAGUCGAAUCUGUGUCCCGCGCCGCCGGUUCAUCGUUCGCGGUGUUAACUGGCGUGUCGCGGGACGUCCUGCCGGUGGGCUUAGCUCGCAAGGGCGGCCCAACUCAAUCCCGCCGCGGUGCUCUUCAUUGAGUGUCGAGGUGGGCCGGCACGUUUACUUUGAACAAAUUAGAGUGCUUAAAGCAGGCUAAAACUUUGCCUGAAUACUGUGUGCAUGGAAUAAUGGAAUAGGACCUCGGUUCUAUUUUGUUGGUUUUCGGAACCCCGAGGUAAUGAUUAAUAGGAACGGAUGGGGGCAUUCGUAUUGCGACGUUAGAGGUGAAAUUCUUGGAUCGUCGCAAGACGGACAGAAGCGAAAGCAUUUGCCAAAAACGUUUUCAUUGAUCAAGAACGAAAGUUAGAGGUUCGAAGGCGAUCAGAUACCGCCCUAGUUCUAACCAUAAACGAUGCCAGCUAGCGAUCCGCCGACGUUCCUCCGAUGACUCGGCGGGCAGCUUCCGGGAAACCAAAGCUUUUGGGUUCCGGGGGAAGUAUGGUUGCAAAGCUGAAACUUAAAGGAAUUGACGGAAGGGCACCACCAGGAGUGGAGCCUGCGGCUUAAUU
Molecule: ribosomal RNA, 1217 nt
Filed under: Cymbeba annulipes
Lineage: Eukaryota; Metazoa; Arthropoda; Insecta; Coleoptera; Tenebrionidae
Description: SSU rRNA
Rfam family: Eukaryotic small subunit ribosomal RNA
Source: RNAcentral